Molecule: ribosomal RNA, 433 nt
Filed under: Edaphochlamys debaryana
Lineage: Eukaryota; Viridiplantae; Chlorophyta; Chlorophyceae; Chlamydomonadales
Description: large subunit ribosomal RNA
Source: RNAcentral
CGCCGCAUUUAAAUGCCGGUAUGCUGCGUGCGUGAAAGCGCUUAAGGUGGUGCCGUAGAGGUACAUUGCUACGUAGGUGGAAACGCCGUCGCACUCGGCGACAUUAGCAUUACCGAGAUCUCCGCAUUGGUACGUCGGGCAUUUACAACGUUCAAAAUCCUUUGCAACCGGACGAGGCCGUUGCUCUUCUCAGCCUCGCAGCGUGGUGGAUGUGGUAUACUUCAACCCUCCUCCUCUUUCCACGAAAGUGGUCGACCCUAUAUAUACCUUGUUUGUAACUGAUAGUGUACACAGUACCGUGAGGGAACAAUUGAAACUGGGCUGGAACUCUCCUAUGCAACUUUCUCUCUCAAGAGCACACGAUUGCAAUACAUUAAUCUAGUGGAUAUUUAUGUACAGCACUCUACCCGCGUUUUUUAAGAAUUUUUAUAUA